Molecule: ribosomal RNA, 253 nt
Filed under: uncultured bacterium
Lineage: Bacteria
Description: partial 16S ribosomal RNA
Rfam family: Bacterial small subunit ribosomal RNA
Source: RNAcentral
UACGGGGGGGGUAAGCGUUGUUCGGAAUUACUGGGCGUAAAGGGCGCGUAGGCGGCCUGUUAAGUCGAACGUGAAAUCCCCGGGCUCAACCCGGGAACUGCGUCCGAUACUGGCAGGCUUGAAUUCGGGAGAGGGGUGUGGAAUUCCAGGUGUAGUGGUGAAAUGCGUAGAUAUCCGGAGGAACACCAGUGGCGAAGGCGACUUCCUGGCCUGUUCUUGACGCUGAGGCGCGAAAGCUGGGGGAGCAAACGGG